GUCUCAGUAGCGCAAUGGAUAGCGCAUUGAAUUUCUGAUCCAAAGGACGUAGGUUCGAAUCCCACCUGGGAUG
This is a non-coding RNA of Trichonephila clavipes, 73 nucleotides long. NCBI's taxonomy places the organism in Eukaryota, Metazoa, Arthropoda, Arachnida, Araneae, Nephilidae. The record is from the annotation of a GenBank genome assembly.